Molecule: transfer RNA, 63 nt
Filed under: Trigonopterus triradiatus
Lineage: Eukaryota; Metazoa; Arthropoda; Insecta; Coleoptera; Curculionidae
Description: tRNA-Leu
Source: RNAcentral
UCUAAUAUGGCAGAUUAGUGCAUUGGUCUUAAGCUCCAAUUAUAAAACUUAUUUUUUUUAGAA